Molecule: ribosomal RNA, 478 nt
Filed under: Salmonella enterica subsp. enterica serovar Enteritidis str. 10-34587
Lineage: Bacteria; Pseudomonadati; Pseudomonadota; Gammaproteobacteria; Enterobacterales; Enterobacteriaceae
Description: bacterial LSU rRNA
Rfam family: Bacterial large subunit ribosomal RNA
Source: RNAcentral
GCCUGUGAGGGUUGCUGGAGGUAUCAGAAGUGCGAAUGCUGACAUAAGUAACGAUAAAGCGGGUGAAAAGCCCGCUCGCCGGAAGACCAAGGGUUCCUGUCCAACGUUAAUCGGGGCAGGGUGAGUCGACCCCUAAGGCGAGGCCGAAAGGCGUAGUCGAUGGGAAACGGGUUAAUAUUCCCGUACUUGGUGUUACUGCGAAGGGGGGACGGAGAAGGCUAUGUUGGCCGGGCGACGGUUGUCCCGGUUUAAGCGUGUAGGUGUGUGUUCCAGGUAAAUCCGGUUCACUUUAACACUGAGGCGUGACGACGAGGCACUACGGUGCUGAAGCAACAAAUGCCCUGCUUCCAGGAAAAGCCUCUAAGCAUCAGGUAACAUCAAAUCGUACCCCAAACCGACACAGGUGGUCAGGUAGAGAAUACCAAGGCGCUUGAGAGAACUCGGGUGAAGGAACUAGGCAAAAUGGUGCCGUAACUUC